CAUAUGAUCACAUACCUUGAAGGCUAAGAGCGUGAGCUAUAUAUGGCGCUUGAAGUUAUGCCAUAUGGUCAAGUUCAAGUUACAAUAAUAGUUGUUCUAUAGUUAAUAUAUAAUAAAUUGAGCUCGCUAUGUAUAUAUAGCAGCUCACACGUGUAUGUUCAAUUGUAAUAAUCUAAACGUAAUAAAUAAAUAGCUUUCGGCUUUCUUAGCCUUUCAAGUAAUAAUGUAAUAAAUAAAUAGCUUUCGGCUUUCUUAGCCUUUCAAGUAAUAAUAUAAGAUCUAUCGUCUAGUACACUCUUUUGUUUGGCGUUACUCUUGGAAG
Arachis ipaensis is the source of this 322-nucleotide non-coding RNA. Lineage: Eukaryota; Viridiplantae; Streptophyta; Magnoliopsida; Fabales; Fabaceae. The record is from RefSeq and is a predicted model, not a curated record.